RNAcentral lists this long non-coding RNA (403 nucleotides) under Oryza brachyantha (malo sina). Its description in RNAcentral is "long non-coding RNA (OBRA_LNC002772)". Lineage: Eukaryota; Viridiplantae; Streptophyta; Magnoliopsida; Poales; Poaceae. The record is from RNAcentral.
UGGUGCUUCCUCCCGCCCUGCUGGCCGAGCUUCCCGGAGAUGCCGAUGAUGGGCGCCGCCGUGGGCUUGAGGUUGCCGGAGAACCUCUGCGAGGAGCCGCCGUUGUGGGGGAGGUGGUUGAGGUUCUUGAGGAGGCACUUGGGGUUGGUGUUCUCCUUGAGCGAGUCGUCGCGGUCGUAGACGCCGCCGAGGUCCGACCAGGCGAUGUCGUCGCCGAUCCGCAGGCGCGUGGAGUCCGGCGGGUCGCCGGAGAGGUCGCGGCCGGAGGCCAUCGCGGAGGAGGAGGAGAAGGAGAGGGAAGCACGCGUGGGCAGGAGGAGGAGGAGAAACGGGGAGGGUGGCGUGGUCGCCGGCGGCGGGUGGCGUGGUUUUAAAGGAGUCGUGCAGUUUGGUAUAGAUGGAU